Pleodorina starrii is the source of this 97-nucleotide non-coding RNA. The record is from the annotation of a GenBank genome assembly. Lineage: Eukaryota; Viridiplantae; Chlorophyta; Chlorophyceae; Chlamydomonadales; Volvocaceae.
GGGGUUGUAGCUCAAAUGGUAGAGCGCCCGCUUAGCAUGCGCAGCUGAGCGCCGCAGAGUGUGCGGGAGGUAGGGGGAUCGAUGCCCUCCAACUCCA